This 253-nucleotide ribosomal RNA is filed under the name uncultured bacterium. Its description in RNAcentral is "partial 16S ribosomal RNA". It matches the Rfam family "Bacterial small subunit ribosomal RNA", at positions 524 to 776 of the family's 1533-position model. The record is from RNAcentral.
GACGUAGGGUGCGAGCGUUGUCCGGAUUUAUUGGGCGUAAAGAGCUCGUAGGCGGUUCGUCGCGUCAGCUGUGAAAACCCGCAGCUUAACUGUGGGCUUGCAGCUGAUACGGGCGGGCUAGAGUUCGGUAGGGGAGACUGGAAUUCCUGGUGUAGCGGUGAAAUGCGCAGAUAUCAGGAGGAACACCGGUGGCGAAGGCGGGUCUCUGGGCCGAUACUGACGCUGAGGAGCGAAAGCGUGGGGAGCGAACAGG